This 27-nucleotide non-coding RNA is filed under the name Cricetulus griseus (Chinese hamster). The record is from RNAcentral. Lineage: Eukaryota; Metazoa; Chordata; Mammalia; Rodentia; Cricetidae.
GUGAAGACAAGAACCCUGCUCCUCUGC